Molecule: long non-coding RNA, 826 nt
Filed under: Ursus maritimus (polar bear)
Lineage: Eukaryota; Metazoa; Chordata; Mammalia; Carnivora; Ursidae
Description: lncRNA (ENSUMAG00000018306.1)
Source: RNAcentral
ACAUAUUAAUCUCUUAUCAGAUACCUGAUUUGCAAAGAUUUUCUCCCAUUCUUAGCUUGCCUUUUCACUCUGCUGUUUGUGCCCUUUAAUGCACAGAUUUAAAGUCCCAUUUGCCUGUUUUUGCUUUUGCUGCCUGUGCUUUUGGUAUAUCCAAGAAAUUAUUGCCAAAUUCAUUGUCAUGAAGCUUUUCUCUUAUAUUUUCUUCUAAGAGGUUUAUGGUCUUAGGUCUUACAUCUAGAUCUUUAAUCCAUUUUGAGUGAUUUUUUAUAUGGUAUAAGAUAUAGGUCCAGUUUCAUCCUUCUCUUUUUUUUUUUUUAAGAUUUUAUUUAUUUAUUUAUUUGACACAGAGAGAGAGAGACAGCCAGCGAGAGAGGGAACACAGGCAGGGGAAGUGGGAGAGGAAGAAGUACGCUCCCAGCAGAGGCAGACGCUUAACAACUGAGCCACCCAGGCGGCCCCGGUUUCAUUCUUUUUCAUAUGGAUAUCCAGUUUUCUCAUCGCCAUUUGUUGAAGAGACUGUUUCUCAUUAAGUGUCCUUGAUAUCUUUGUCAAAGAUCAUUUGACCAUAUAUCUGAGAGUUUAUUUCUGUACUCCAGUUUAUUUCUCAAUGAACUCAAAUCUACCACAACUAGUCAAGUCUUUGUAUAUGGAUGAAAUGCACACCUUCUUGUAUCAGUCUGCAUGAGCGGAGGAAGCAGCAUCUGGCACCUCAGCUCUGUGAAACAUCGCUGACUGCUCCUGGGAAGGGGAGGCAAGAAGCAGCCGACCUGCCUUAGGAAGGGAGGAAGCAGCAUCUGGCACCUCAGCUCUGUGAAACAUCGCUGAC